Molecule: long non-coding RNA, 561 nt
Filed under: Oreochromis niloticus (Nile tilapia)
Lineage: Eukaryota; Metazoa; Chordata; Actinopteri; Cichliformes; Cichlidae
Description: lncRNA (ENSONIG00000041117.1)
Source: RNAcentral
AUGGUUACAUCACCGCUUUCUGAGACAGAUUCAGGGAGGUACACUCUGACCUGUGAAUCCAACAAUGCCACCAUGUUUUCCACGACUGUGAUUCUUCAUGUAAUGAAACGUCCAACAAAACCUCCAACAAAACCACAGCUGAUGCUCGAUGGUGUGGACGUCCCAGAUGCUUCCCCACUUUUUAAGUGUGUCUCUGAGGGUUUCCCCAAACCCACAAUCCAAUGGUCUGGUAACAAGGAUGGAGAACAGAGUUUAAAGGGAAGUGACAGAAAGACAGAGAGCAAAAUAUCAAGCGGUUAUUAUUAUAAUACAGGAAUGAUGUGCUGUGCAACCAAUACUGAAGGACAAGAGUGCUCCCAACUGUAUGACUACGACUUACAGAGCAGUGUAAUGAACAAAGAUGAGGCAUCUACUGUCACCCUGAGCAAAGGUCAGUCUCUGCUGCUUCGCUGCAGAGUAAAAGGAUACAGUCUGACAUCACCUGUGUGGGAGAAAGGAGGAAGACAGCUCAAUGCCAGGACAUUGUCAUGUAAACCAGAGGAAGAGGAGGAGGUACAGUAA